This 545-nucleotide ribosomal RNA is filed under the name uncultured bacterium. Its description in RNAcentral is "partial 16S ribosomal RNA". It matches the Rfam family "Bacterial small subunit ribosomal RNA", at positions 355 to 895 of the family's 1533-position model. The record is from RNAcentral.
UGGGGAAUUUUGGACAAUGGGGGCAACCCUGAUCCAGCCAUCCCGCGUGUGCGAUGAAGGCCUUCGGGUUGUAAAGCACUUUUGGCAGGGAAGAAACAGCCUGGGAUAAUACCCCGGGCGACUGACGGUACCUGCAGAAUAAGCACCGGCUAACUACGUGCCAGCAGCCGCGGUAAUACGUAGGGUGCAAGCGUUAAUCGGAAUUACUGGGCGUAAAGCGUGCGCAGGCGGUUCGGAAAGAAAGGUGUGAAUCCCAGGGCUUAACCUUGGAACUGCACUUUUAACUACCGAGCUAGAGUACGUCAGAGGGGGGUAGAAUUCCACGUGUAGCAGUGAAAUGCGUAGAGAUGUGGAGGAAUACCGAUGGCGAAGGCAGCCCCUGGGAUGAUACUGACGCUCAUGCACGAAAGCGUGGGGAGCAAACAGGAUUAGAUACCCUGGUAGUCCACGCCCUAAACGAUGUCAACUAGCUGUUGGGGUUUAUUAACCUUAGUAGCGCAGCUAACGCGUGAAGUUGACCGCCUGGGGAGUACGGUCGCAAGAUU